Molecule: ribosomal RNA, 443 nt
Filed under: uncultured bacterium
Lineage: Bacteria
Description: partial 16S ribosomal RNA
Rfam family: Bacterial small subunit ribosomal RNA
Source: RNAcentral
CCUACGGGAGGCAGCAGUGGGGAAUAUUGGGCAAUGGGCGCAAGCCUGACCCAGCAACGCCGCGUGAAGGAAGAAGGCUUUCGGGUUGUAAACUUCUUUUGUCAGGGACGAAGCAAGUGACGGUACCUGACGAAUAAGCCACGGCUAACUACGUGCCAGCAGCCGCGGUAAUACGGAGGUGGCAAGCGUUAUCCGGAUUUACUGGGUGUAAAGGGCGUGUAGGGGGGGAAGCAAGUCAGAUGUGAAAACCACGGGCUCAACCGGUGGCCUGCAUUUGAAACUGUUUGUCUUGAGUGCUGGAGGGGCAAGCGGAAUUCCGGGUGUAGCGGUGAAAUGCGUAGAUAUACGGAGGAACACCAGUGGCGAAGGCGGAUUGCUGGACAGUAACUGACGCUGAGGCGCGAAAGCGUGGGGAGCAAACAGGAUUAGAUACCCCUGUAGUC